Molecule: long non-coding RNA, 534 nt
Organism: Gallus gallus (chicken)
Lineage: Eukaryota; Metazoa; Chordata; Aves; Galliformes; Phasianidae
Source: Ensembl
GUGAUGAAGUGCUGCUAAUGAGCCUCUUUUGCUUGUUUAUUUUAACAGCCAGAAAAAAUUACAUUAGUGCUCUGCGGUGAGCGGGCGGUGUGGAUUUCCUCGGGGAAUCCCUCCGGAGUGUUCGGAACAAGCAGCGGAGCUCCUCGCCUAAUUGGGAGCGGACUAAUUUGCUGUCUUUUCCAGCUGAGCUUCUGGGUCCCUCAGAGUCCGGAGACCCGCUGACCGCUGUUCAGUUAAGGAGCAAACAACGGCUGGGUCUGCUUGUGGAGAAGGCCCUUGCAAGCAAAUAUCCCUUGAUGAAACAGUCUCAUGAACUGCAAAGCUUCUUCACCGAGGCGCACUGGAACAAGCUACAUUGAGAUGUGCAAUUUGGCUUUCUAAACUCCCCUGGAAAGAAUUUGCAGCCUGGUGAGCAGGCAGAACAAGUACAUUGGGGCAAACACUGCCAGCCCCCGGCGCCCUCCUGCAGAGCAGAAGUCAAAGAAGCAGCUGGCAUCUUUUCCUCCUGCUUUCUGUAGUCUAACUCAUGUUUGU